RNAcentral lists this small RNA (762 nucleotides) under Pongo abelii (Sumatran orangutan). RNAcentral's name for it is "retained intron". Lineage: Eukaryota; Metazoa; Chordata; Mammalia; Primates; Hominidae. The record is from RNAcentral.
UUACAAAGUUUGUGUACUACGAAUUAAAAUUCUUUGUUUUAUGUAAGCAUGUUAAUGGGAGGAGAAAAAAGUUUGGUCCGUUUUAAACAUACUUUAUUUAUUGGCAGUUCUGCAUUUAACUUUUGUUUAAGGCUAUACUGUGGCUAGAAUUAAGCUCGGAGACUACCAUUUCUAUGGAUUUGGCACCGAUGUAGAUUAUGAAACUGCAUUUAUUCAUUACCGUCUGGCUUCUGAACAGCAACACAGUGCACAAGCUAUGUUUAAUCUGGGAUAUAUGCAUGAGAAAGGACUGGGCAUUAAACAGGAUAUUCACCUUGCAAAACGUUUUUAUGACAUGGCAGCUGAAGCCAGCCCAGAUGCACAAGUUCCAGUCUUCCUAGCCCUCUGCAAAUUGGGCGUUGUCUAUUUCUUGCAGUACAUACGGGAAACAAAUGUAAGUGGUCCGUGCCUCUUUUCAUUAAAAUAUAAAUGAUGGAAGGUCUGUCCUGGAGGUUUGUUUUUUAAAAGUUGAGAAGCACAGGGAAGAGUGUCCUGCAGGUAUCAGGUGUGUUCCCUUCUCCUCAGCUCAGGUACCAGAGGACCUUACCAGGGGAGGGAUAAAUGCAGGCAUAAAGCAGCUACUGCAGUUUUUAGGUAGUGUUUGACACUUCCUGACGCUAAAGCAUUUUUCAUGGAGGCAGAUGUUUUCUGGUUUAGGGAAAACUGAGACUAACGGCAGUUUGAAACAGUAUUUAAUUCAGUAAACAUUAAAUCACAUGACUC